RNAcentral lists this ribosomal RNA (351 nucleotides) under Triticum aestivum (bread wheat). RNAcentral describes it as "partial small subunit ribosomal RNA". The record is from RNAcentral. Lineage: Eukaryota; Viridiplantae; Streptophyta; Magnoliopsida; Poales; Poaceae.
AUGACUCACCAUGAUAUACAACAUGAGUUAAUAAAAUGUUGUGCACAGGAGACUACAAAAUUAGUCAUUGAAGAACUUGAUGGUGGCCACUUUGCAAUACUUGCAGAUGAGUCUAGUGAUGUGUAUCAGAAUGAACAGUUGACAAUUUGCUUGCGUUAUGUUGAUAAGAAAGGAAGGGUUGUUGUAAGAUUUCUUGGUUUUGCUCAUGUUCAAGAUACUACCUCUUUGACACUUAAAGCUGCAAUUGAGCAAAUGCUUAUGAAGUACAAUUUGACCUUUGCAAUGGUUCGUGGGCAAGGAUAUGAUGGAGCUAGCAACAUGAAAGGUAAUGCUAAUGGCCUAAAAAACUGA